AUGGCACCAUCCAUGAGUCUUGCAGCGAAAGGUCUGCUCCCCUUUGGAGCGCUCCCCUCGAGCGGCGUCGCGCAGAGGCCGGUGUCUGUGACCGCCUCACUGGAGCACAAGACGAGCGAUUAUAAGAGGAAGCUCCUGAAGCUUGCGCUCGGAGGAGUCGGUCUGCCCGCCUUGUUGAGUGCCAAGAAGGCUUUCACCGAUGACCAGGGCGUCUUUUCCUCCAGGAUGUCUUACUUGAGGUAG
RNAcentral lists this ribosomal RNA (243 nucleotides) under Triticum aestivum (bread wheat). Its description in RNAcentral is "partial small subunit ribosomal RNA". The record is from RNAcentral. Lineage: Eukaryota; Viridiplantae; Streptophyta; Magnoliopsida; Poales; Poaceae.